CUGAAAGCCACUACACCUAUCUAUACAUCAGUUCAGAGUGUCUACACAAGGGAUUUGCAUUGGAGUGACUAUGGGUUAAAAUAUUCAAAAGCCAGAGCUGUAGUCAUGGACGCAGGACCCCAAGCAUAGAACAGUUAGUCCCUGCCCUGAAGAGCAUACAAUCUGAAUAGACAGAAGUGACACAAAGUGAAGGAAGAGGUAGAGCAGAAGAAACUAAGUGAUGGCAAGCAGCAUGAGGAAGAAGUAUCCCCUCACAUGUCCAUUCUUUAAAAUUUCCACCGUCAUCUUCCUUUGAGUCCAUCAGUGCUGUUUCAUAAUUGACCUUGGGGACCACAGCAAAUGAUAUGAAGCAGUCCUUACCUGGGGUAAUGCCUAAGGCCCCAGAAAGGACAGGGACCAACACACCUUUGUAGCAGGAGCAGUACAGACAGAGAGGAAGAUGCAGUUCCUGAACUGAAUUGCUUCAGUCUGAAAAGACAAG
This is a long non-coding RNA of Mauremys reevesii (Reeves's turtle), 481 nucleotides long. RefSeq lists it as uncharacterized. The record is from RefSeq and is a predicted model, not a curated record. NCBI's taxonomy places the organism in Eukaryota, Metazoa, Chordata, Testudines, Geoemydidae. The transcript is spliced from 4 exons.